GGAAUAUAAAAACCCGUCUUUUAACUUUUAUCUAAAAAAGCUAAGAACCGGUUCUUAAAUAAGAGUUUUAAGAGCCGGUUCUUAACUUUUUUAGUUAAAAAUUGGAAGACGGGUUCUUAUAUUUC
MicroRNA precursor from Brassica oleracea var. oleracea, 125 nucleotides. It matches the Rfam family "MIR9563 microRNA precursor family". The record is from Rfam. NCBI's taxonomy places the organism in Eukaryota, Viridiplantae, Streptophyta, Magnoliopsida, Brassicales, Brassicaceae.